CGUCCGGCCCGUUAUGUCUGGAUUGUGGCGGAUGUGUGUGAGGAAUGGUUCCAGGGCGAGAGCGAACAGUAGCGGCGAGAGGGGACAUCCCUGUCGCGUGCCGUUGUGUAUGGUAAAGGUCUCAGUCAGUGCCCCGUUAACUAAUACCUGGGCCGUCGGUGCUCGGUAUAGCGCCUCUAUCCAACGUCGAAUGUUGGGACCCAGCCCCAUGUGGGACAGUGUCUCGAAGAGGUAGUCCCAGCUCACUCUAUCGAAGGCCUUCUCUGCGUCCGUGGACAACAAGAGGAGGCCUCCGUCCGUGCCCCCGCCUCCGUGCAUAAGUGUGAGCGCUCUGAUGGUGUUGUCGCGUGCCUCCCGUCCUGUCACAAAUCCCACCUGGUCGGGGUGGACCAGAGACGGGAUAUGUUUGGUGAGUCGCACCGCCAGG
Molecule: non-coding RNA, 427 nt
Organism: Pelobates cultripes (western spadefoot toad)
Lineage: Eukaryota; Metazoa; Chordata; Amphibia; Anura; Pelobatidae
Source: the annotation of a GenBank genome assembly